GUACACACCGCCCGUCACACCACGAAAGCGGGGAGGGCCUGAAGUCGCUGUCGUAACCCUUCGGGGAGCAAAGCGCCGAAGGUCAGCUCCGUGAUUGGGACUAAGUCGUAACAAGGUAACCGUAGGUGAACCUGCAGAAGGAUCA
This 145-nucleotide ribosomal RNA is filed under the name uncultured eukaryote. Its description in RNAcentral is "partial small subunit ribosomal RNA". It matches the Rfam family "Bacterial small subunit ribosomal RNA", at positions 1383 to 1525 of the family's 1533-position model. The record is from RNAcentral.